Molecule: ribosomal RNA, 452 nt
Filed under: uncultured organism
Description: partial 16S ribosomal RNA
Rfam family: Bacterial small subunit ribosomal RNA
Source: RNAcentral
ACACUCCUACGGGAGGCAGCAGUGUGGAAUAUUGGACAAUGGGCGCAAGCCUGAUCCAGCCAUGCCGCGUGAGUGAUGAAGGCCCUAGGGUUGUAAAGCUCUUUCACCGGUGAAGAUAAUGACGGUAACCGGAGAAGAAGCCCCGGCUAACUUCGUGCCAGCAGCCGCGGUAAUACGAAGGGGGCUAGCGUUGUUCGGAUUUACUGGGCGUAAAGCGCACGUAGGCGGACUAUUAAGUCAGGGGUGAAAUCCCGGGGCUCAACCCCGGAACUGCCUUUGAUACUGGUAGUCUUGAGUUCGAGAGAGGUGAGUGGAAUUCCGAGUGUAGAGGUGAAAUUCGUAGAUAUUCGGAGGAACACCAGUGGCGAAGGCGGCUCACUGGCUCGAUACUGACGCUGAGGUGCGAAAGCGUGGGGAGCAAACAGGAUUAGAAACCCCAGUAGUCCCAUGAU